Molecule: ribosomal RNA, 468 nt
Filed under: uncultured bacterium
Lineage: Bacteria
Description: partial 16S ribosomal RNA
Rfam family: Bacterial small subunit ribosomal RNA
Source: RNAcentral
GACGAACGCUGGCGGCGUGCUUAACACAUGCAAGUCGAACGGAAAGGCCCUGCUUUUGUGGGGUGCUCGAGUGGCGAACGGGUGAGUAACACGUGAGUAACCUGCCCUUGACUUUGGGAUAACUUCAGGAAACUGGGGCUAAUACCGGAUAGGAGCUCCUGCUGCAUGGUGGGGGUUGGAAAGUUUCGGCGGUUGGGGAUGGACUCGCGGCUUAUCAGCUUGUUGGUGGGGUAGUGGCUUACCAAGGCUUUGACGGGUAGCCGGCCUGAGAGGGGGACCGGCCACAUUGGGACUGAGAGACGGCCCAGACUCCUACGGUAGGCAGCAGUGGGGAAUAUUGCACAAUGGGCGGAAGCCUGAUGCAGCAACGCCGCGUGCGUGAUGACGGCCUUCGGGUUGUAAACCGCUUUCGCCUGUGACGAAGCGUGAGUGACGGUAAUGGGUAAAGAAGCACCGGCCAACUACGUG